GCCAGAAUGAAACUGUUGACCUGGAGGUCUCAGACAACGAAGAUUCAGCUCCACAGCACCCUGAGAUCAGCCACUAAUUUCAGAAAACUAGCACACAUGCGAUGAAAUCACCACAUUCUGGAGUGACAACAUAUUCUGCAGAAACAGGGCUGGGAUGCUGGUGGUGCCUUGGUUUGACCUGAUUUUACUUUAUGCAAAUGUAAAAUGUCCAUGGGAGAGACUGACAGUGGAUUUCAUAGCACUGCAAUUUGAUUUUAGUAUUAAACAACCAAAGGAAAAAAAC
This 283-nucleotide long non-coding RNA is filed under the name Gallus gallus (chicken). RNAcentral describes it as "long non-coding RNA NONGGAT008697". Lineage: Eukaryota; Metazoa; Chordata; Aves; Galliformes; Phasianidae. The record is from RNAcentral.